GAUGAACGCUGGCGGCGUGCCUAAUACAUGCAAGUCGAGCGAACGGACGAGAAGCUUGCUUUUCUGAUGUUAGCGGCGGACGGGUGAGUAACACGUGGAUAACCUACCUAUAAGACUGGGAUAACUUCGGGAAACCGGAGCUAAUACCGGAUAAUAUUUUGAACCGCAUGGUUCAAAAGUGAAAGACGGUCUUGCUGUCACUUUUAGAUGGAUCCGCGCUGCAUUAGCUAGUUGGUAAGGUAAUGGCUUACCAAGGCAACGAUGCAUAGCCGACCUGAGAGGGUGAUCGGCCACACUGGAACUGAGACACGGUCCAGACUCCUACGGGAGGCAGCAGUAGGGAAUCUUCCGCAAUGGGCGAAAGCCUGACGGAGCAACGCCGCGUGAGUGAUGAAGGUCUUCGGAUCGUAAAACUCUGUUAUUAGGGAAGAACAUAUGUGUAAGUAACUGUGCACAUCUUGACGGUACCUAAUCAGAAAGCCACGGCUAACUACGUG
Molecule: ribosomal RNA, 497 nt
Filed under: uncultured bacterium
Lineage: Bacteria
Description: partial 16S ribosomal RNA
Rfam family: Bacterial small subunit ribosomal RNA
Source: RNAcentral